RNAcentral lists this long non-coding RNA (2921 nucleotides) under Nicotiana tabacum (common tobacco). Its description in RNAcentral is "long non-coding RNA (NTAB_LNC004760)". Lineage: Eukaryota; Viridiplantae; Streptophyta; Magnoliopsida; Solanales; Solanaceae. The record is from RNAcentral.
UAAGCAAACUCCUAAAUGAGCGACUCUGACUGGAUGGUCCUAGGGCGUCUGUCAUGCCCAAACCCCGGUAAGUAGAUCCACACCUGUAUGAGAAAAUUAAGACCAAAUAAAGUUAAAGACCUAGAACACUAUGUGAGAUAAUAACACAUCCUGUUGGACAACAUGCAAGACACGAUUAAGGCUAUUUUUUUUUAAAAUAAUUAACCUAUAUGGCUAAAAGUGGCUAAAAAUACAAGAUUGGCCAAUACCCCGCGAAGUGAAGAACCUAAGAUUUACUAGGAAGACCGGACCCUAUGUGGGUUGCCUACGUAUCAUGCCCCGAAAAAUGAGAAUCAGUUAUGUGUAGUUCGGGCAGAUUGGAUACGGGCGAGAAUUGAAAAAAACAACACAUUUAGAAAAAAAAUAUUUUUUGUCUUUUUUUUGGAAUAAUGAUGACACAUGUAAAAUCUUUUUGGAUCUUCUUUUUCUUUUUUUUAUUUUAUUGAUUUUGGAAAAAAUGAUGGGGAAAGUGCAGAAUCUUUUCGGAUUUUUUCAUUUUCCUUUUUUUUUGUUUUUUUCUUGAAAAAGUGUCAAAGAAAAUUAUAAUUGGGCCCUACUUGCCUCAUUAUUAUACUUCAACCUCUUUUCUUUCUCAUUUACCCUCAAACCUCAUUGGUCCGUCAAAUGACCCCUUUUACCCUUGAAGAUUGCAACAUGUAGCACAUUAUGAUGCAUCAGGAUUGUCUUUUAUUUUGGGAUACACUUAUCCUAGAUGGACCCAACCCCUGUGUUGAGUUCCCUAAGUCAAAUGCACGUGAUGCAAACAAACAUUCGUACUAGGGAUACGACAUGAAGUUAUGUUAUUCUAGGUUUAAAACAUUGGGUUCUGUUCUUGACCUGGCUUACCCGAGUGGACAACUCGAGCCGAAGAGGGGACAGCGUACCAGGAGCACUGAAGUCUACUCGGCUUUGUUGCUGGCCUAGCCUCGUUCUAUUUUGGUAUAACUUCUACAGAAAAAGCGGGCCACGCGAACAUGUGCACCAUUUUAAGAAGACUCAGAGGGGUGACGUAAGAAGACAGUUAUAUACAAUUCAAAUAAUAUUAAAGUAGUAAAUAGACAACAGUUAGCACAAAAGGUUCACAAAAUACAGUAAUAUCAACAAAAAAUAAAGCCAAGUAAAAAUCAUAUUAACAAGCUCGAAUUCUUGAACCAUGAACCAGAGAUUCUAGGUUCUUCUCCCCAGCAGAGUCGCCAUAGUUGUCACACCUCCUUUUCACUACCCCCGGAAGGGUAUAACAGAGUUUUUUCAAAUAUAAGUGACAAUCGAAACGGGAUUAUUUAUUUAAAAUCAGAGUCGCCACAUGGGAUAAUUUAUUGUGUCCCAAGUGACCAGUUUAAAAUCCCGAAUCGAGGAAAUUUGACUCUAUUUACGGUCUGCGAACACAGAAAUCUGGGUAAGGAAUUCUGUUAACCCGGGAGAAGGUGUUAGGCAUUCCCGAGUUCCGUAGUUCUAGCAUGGUCGCUUUGAUCAUACUUGGCUUAAUCAAAUUGUCUAAUUACUUAUUUUAGAACCUAUGUGCAUUUACCUCUUUCAAUUAAAAAAUCAUCCUAAAAUGAGUCACGCGUACGUGUACCCAUUUGUUCGGCGCAUCAAAAAUCAUGUCACGCGAACGUAUCUAAUAUUAGUAACGCUUAUUUAUUAUUAAGAAAGUUUGUCCGAAGUUGCGCGAACGCAUACCUCAAUUAAUUUUUUAGAUAUCGUAAUUAUGUCACGUGAACGUGUACACAAUCAUGAUGAUAGAUUAAGUCGCACCUAAAGCCAGCUAUGAUGUUUAUUUUAGAAACCUUAAUGAUGUCAUGCGAACGUGUACAUAAUCACAAUAAUAAAUUCGAAACACGCCUAAAGGUUCACCUACCCGGGUGUGGUCGGCCUAAAUAUGCUCCUAGCGAACCCCAAAUGAAUUAAAAGUAAAACAAUAAGAUUGCCUCGAGCCUAGACCCGCAUACCCAACAUCAAUUUAAUGAAUUGACCCAAACCCAUUUUUGAUCAACCCCACGAUUCAAAACAAUUCAUUGUUUGUCAUUUCCAUUCAACUUGAUGUCUUCAUUCAUAUUGAACAUAUCUUAUAAAACAAACUUUAAAGAAAACAAAUUAAACAAAAUAACAAUGAAGCUAACCAUGGUUAAAUAAAUCAUAAGUAGAUUCAAAUUUAUUGAAAUAAAGAAUUAUAUUCAUUGACUAACAAGAGGGAUGAAAGGAUAUGGACCUGAAAAUGGUCUUACAAUCAAUCUAAUUUGGUGGUUCAUGGACAGAAUACUGCAACUACGAAUGGAGUUCAAAACAACAAAUCCAAUUCGAACAAAACCAGUGGACCCCACAUCGGAUGGCAAUUCCAACAAUCAAACACCUGUUUCAACUCAAACUUUAUUUCGGAAAACAAAACUAAAAGAACAGCCUAAAUUUCAUUGCGUAUUUUGCAUUUGAAAGAAAAAACAAAGCUAGACGCAACUGAAAAUCAGAAAAUGAAAAGUCGAAAUCAAAGAGCCAAAACCCCCCAUUUUUCUUUAAUCCUUUUUUGCCCAGAUUUUUUUUGUUCUUGUGAAUUUCUCAUUUACCUCUCAUGUUUGUCUGUUCCCUGCUGCUGUAUGUGUGUGUAUGCUCGUCAGAUUCUGGCCAGUUAUGGUGGUGAGGGAGCGAUGUCAGCUGGAGUUUUUCUGGCAAGUUUGGUGGUCGACUGGUUCCGAUCUUAGAGAGGAGCAUCGCUGGGGUCGUUGUUGUGAGGAAGAUGAAGAGAAAGGCUGGGAUUUUUCACUAGGGUCCUGCGGUUGUAGCCCCUUUUCUGGAGAAGCAGAUCGAGGAGCCCCUCUUUGUAAGACGGCGGGUAGGGAUCUGAUAGAGUGUAAGGUUUUUUAGGCGUAGGUCUAGGGCCUAAAGUCUAG